GAUGUUUCUCUUCCCUUCUGCAGAUGAGCUCUUAUUUCACUAGUGGGAAAUCACAUUUAUCUAGAAUUUUUCAGAGAGAGAAAGCUUUCCCUCUCUCCAGUCAGGUCACGGAACUUUGCUAUACUAGGACCACCUCUGUACCUGCUUGUCUCUUGGCAGGUGGGAAGUUCUGAGGCAGCAGGAACCACCCAGAGCCCCCUUCAGAACGAGAAGCCACAUGAAGAAGUCUGUCCCACCAAUCUACAUUUCUGCUGCUCUAUCUCCUCCACCCCAGUGCUGGACAAGAACCCCAUGAAAAGGCCCAAAGUCUGCUGGAAAUACUCCAACUAGCCAAACCAUGGUGGCCCGUGUCUUCCCUCGUCUCCUGUGGCUUAAGCAGCAUGGUGGUCCCAUCGUUCACAGUCUUUGGGUGGGCCUUGCAGACUGGUUUCUGCAAAGAACAUGGCAAGAAAAUAAAGGGACACUGUGCCAUCAACAAAAUGUGCCAGAACAUGCCAUGACCAUUCACAAGUGAACCCAAGGAUCAGGUCUCUGGAAGCAACCCAGGCCCAGAGAGAUUUGCCACAAAGAUGGGAGCUCCACAUGCUGACAGAACAAAGCAUGGCCCAUGCUGUCCCUGUGUGCAUCUCUCCAGGAAACUCACUGAGUCCAGGAGACGCUGAGUACGCUCUACGGGGCACCCACGUCCUUGCAAGCACGUGUAAACAUCCUCGGGAUCAGUGUGGAUGAGACCUAACUGCUGAGUAUCAAAACAACAGCAACAAACAAACACAAAAGAGAAGAAAAGAAACAAUAAAAGCGCCAUGACAGACCAGA
Long non-coding RNA from Psammomys obesus (fat sand rat), 816 nucleotides. RefSeq lists it as uncharacterized. The transcript has 2 exons. Lineage: Eukaryota; Metazoa; Chordata; Mammalia; Rodentia; Muridae. The record is from RefSeq and is a predicted model, not a curated record.